CAAGUAAAUCGCCUUAUCGAUUCUAAAUGUAUUUAGGGUAGGAAAGUCCGAACACCAUAGUGCAAACAUAGUGGCUAACAGCCAUCAGCCGUAAGGCUAGGAAAAGUGCAACAGAAAGAAUGUACAGGUCAUGCUGUAGUGAAACCAGGUAAACUCUAUGUGGUGCAAUGUCAUGUAAACUAACAUUUGAGAGCUGCACGCUCGAUGUUAGAGGGUAGACAGCUAAAGUUUGCUAGUAAUAGUAAACGUAGAUAAAUGAUAAGGGCUUUUAUUGUUGAAAUAAAAGUACAGAAUUCGGCUUAUAGAUUUGCUUACUUA
Molecule: RNase P RNA, 318 nt
Filed under: Ichthyenterobacterium magnum
Lineage: Bacteria; Pseudomonadati; Bacteroidota; Flavobacteriia; Flavobacteriales; Flavobacteriaceae
Description: Bacterial RNase P class A
Rfam family: Bacterial RNase P class A
About the family: Ribonuclease P (RNase P) is a ubiquitous endoribonuclease, found in archaea, bacteria and eukarya as well as chloroplasts and mitochondria. Its best characterised activity is the generation of mature 5'-ends of tRNAs by cleaving the 5'-leader elements of precursor-tRNAs.
Source: Rfam by way of RNAcentral